AACCGGUCCCUUCGCGACGACAAACUGUGAACCCCGCCAGGCCCGGAAGGGAGCAACGGUAGCAGCGGAAUCGGGUGCCGGAGUGUGGCUGGGCGGG
This 97-nucleotide signal recognition particle RNA is filed under the name Gammaproteobacteria bacterium. RNAcentral describes it as "signal recognition particle sRNA small type". It matches the Rfam family "Bacterial small signal recognition particle RNA". From Rfam's summary of the family: The signal recognition particle (SRP) is a universally conserved ribonucleoprotein involved in the co-translational targeting of proteins to membranes. Lineage: Bacteria; Pseudomonadati; Pseudomonadota; Gammaproteobacteria. The record is from RNAcentral.